UACGGAGGGGGCUAGCGUUGUUCGGAAUUACUGGGCGUAAAGCGCACGUAGGCGGCUUUGUAAGUUAGAGGUGAAAGCCCGGGGCUCAACUCCGGAACUGCCUUUAAGACUGCAUCGCUCGAAUUGUGGAGAGGUAAGUGGAAUUCCGAGUGUAGAGGUGAAAUUCGUAGAUAUUCGGAAGAACACCAGUGGCGAAGGCGGCUCACUGGCCCGGUACUGACGCUGAGGUGCGAAAGCGUGGGGAGCAAACAGG
This 253-nucleotide ribosomal RNA is filed under the name uncultured bacterium. RNAcentral's name for it is "partial 16S ribosomal RNA". It matches the Rfam family "Bacterial small subunit ribosomal RNA", at positions 524 to 776 of the family's 1533-position model. The record is from RNAcentral.